AAUAAUCACGUGAAUAAAUAAUUAAAGAGUAAGGGAGAAAUUGAAUUUUGGGCCUCCUUUUUGGGCCAAUUUCGCUGAAAUUUUUGCCUUCAAACCAAUCCCGUUUUUGUAUACAGCUGGUGUAUAUCAGUGUAUAUCAGCGUAUGCAUAGGCUUCUUUUCAUGUAUCUCUUGCUUCCGAACACCUAUAUUUCACCUUAGCCUUGUAUUUUUGCGUUUUUGACCUGUAUAUAAGUGUAUACAGCUGCAUAUAGUGUAUAUUGAAUGUGUAUAACGUGUAUACAACCUGCUUUUUGGACUUCCGGGGCCUGUUCCCGCUUCUUUUUCACCGAAUAUAUGAGGAUGACUCGAAACGACUCAAGGAUAUGCAAGAGUGGAGUCCAAAGUGAACUCGAAUGGAAUUUCAUAUGCAACGAAAAGCGAGUAUAAAAUUAGUGUACGAAUUAAGGGAACAAUUAAGACGUAACUUAAAAUUAAGAUGAAAGUGGCUUAAAUAUUUUUUGAGAUGAAAAUAUUACUAAAGUCACUGUUAGACCAAAUCAAGACCAAAAGGUCACUAAAUUCAACACAAAAUAGGAGGUAAUAAAAUUUAUACUAAGGUAAUGAAAAUCAAGCCACAUGGAACUUCCAAAGCACAUGCCCACAUAUAUGUAUAUAUGACUAAAAUUUAUAAGCAAUAAUUGAUGCAAUCCAAAGAUACAUUAAAGAGUUAACAUCACCUCAUACAAUACGAAACUAGCUUUAUCUAUGGAGACUUAAAGGUUGCCGGUUUGUCAUAUCAAAUGAUCAAAAUUGAAGACAAUAGCCAAUUAACUCAUUAUAGGCAAAGGAAGAAAAUAACCACAUUUAAAUAACUAAACUAGGCAACAUAAGCAAAUAUGUUAAACAAUGGCAUAAUACAAAACAAUGUUCAUAUCACUGUUGAAUAUUAACGUUCAAGUGAAUAACUAAGUUACACAACAAGUUAAAAAAUCAGAAGGAUAUUUUUAGACUUUGGACAAAGAUGGGGAGGGCUAUUUUUUUUGGAAAAUAAGAGUAAUCUUAGUUAAAUCGUCACAUUAAAAUGGUAGAGUUACAAGCAUCCCGUCAUGAGUUUAAAUCCAAAGAGAUAUAUACCACUCAAGUUGACUGAAAACAGAGGAUAGAUAUAUCUACUACGCGAAUUCAAACUAGUAUUAACAAAUAUAUCUACUACGCAAAUUCAAACUAGUAUUAACAAGGAACCUUCACACUAAGAAACAUCAAGGCCAUAAUUUUUUUAAGUCUACUCAGCACUCACAAAUAUGCCUAAUUGGAUAAGAUAUUAAAAUAAGAACCUAAAGCCAUGCUUGGAUUAACUAGAUCACUGAUGACAUAAUCCUCAAAAUAGCAUCAGAUUUCCGAACAAUGAAUUUAAAUGAGAGCUUUCAGGACAUUUCGAUAGUAACAAAUUAAAACAUAGAGGUUAAGGUUGUCUCAUUACACAAACCCAUAUUACUAUUUUAAACAAUAAUUUCACAUUCUGAAAAAAAAAAAAAAAAGACAUACCUUAAUACUUAGAUACAAUUCUAAGGGAAAUUUUAACAAAAGAAACAAUCACAAUUUCAAGAAAUUAGUUAAUCUAGCUAAAAUACUAAUUCUAAGGGAAAUUUUAACAAAAGAAACAAUCACGAUUUCAAGAAAUUAAUUAAUCUAGCUAAAAUAUUACUCAAAAUAAACAUACAAGAACACUUUUCUUCAAUUGAGGGGUAAGGGUGUGAAGCAAAAUACAUAAAGUUUCCACUGUUUUCUCAUUCUCAAACCAAAGCAACAACAGACAGUGAGAAAUGAGGACAUUGCACCAUAAAACUAGCUACUACAUCAUCCUAAUUCAUGCAUUAUAGCACUAAGGGAGUUCAACUGGGAAUAAACAAAUAUAGAUAUGCAACUACUUCACCAAACAGAGAACAAAUUAACUGAAUAAAAAUGAAAUGAGAGAAGAGGAGUUGUUACCUUCCAAAGUGCAGCGAACGGAGACGAAAACGAGCGAGGUAACAACGAUUCCUCCACCAAUCAGCGACUUAAAACCUUGGAAAAUUCUCAACCAACGAAUGGAGAGGGUGGAGCUCAGAUUAAAAAAAAAUCGUUCUCUUCUCUGUUUCGAGAGCACCUCUUAUAGAUUUAUAUUUCUCUAUACCUUGCUAUAUUAUUUUUUCUAUCUCCCCCUUUUUUUUUUUUUUU
This 2198-nucleotide long non-coding RNA is filed under the name Solanum tuberosum (potato). RNAcentral's name for it is "long non-coding RNA (STUB_LNC008477)". The record is from RNAcentral. Lineage: Eukaryota; Viridiplantae; Streptophyta; Magnoliopsida; Solanales; Solanaceae.